RNAcentral lists this ribosomal RNA (1325 nucleotides) under metagenome. Its description in RNAcentral is "bacterial LSU rRNA". It matches the Rfam family "Bacterial large subunit ribosomal RNA", at positions 1561 to 2925 of the family's 2925-position model. The record is from RNAcentral.
AGUGGAUGGGGAGCAACCUAGUUGUGCGUGUGUAAAGGUAGUGCCAAGAAAAGCGAUGAUCAUGUUGAAAAUCAAUUCCCGGUACCCGAAACCGACACAGGUGGGCAAGUAGAGAAUACUAAGGGGCGCGAGGUAACUCUCUCCAAGGAACUCGGCAAAAUGACCCCGUAACUUAGGGAGAAGGGGUGCCACCGAGAGGUGGUCGCAGUGAAGAGGCCCAGGCGACUGUUUAGCAAAAACAUAGGUCUCUGCAAACUCGAAAGAGGAGGUAUAGGGGCUGACGCCUGCCCAGUGCCGGAAGGUUAAAGAAGUUGGUCAGUCUUAGGAUGAAGCUAGCGACUGAAGCCCCGGUGAACGGCGGCCGUAACUAUAACGGUCCUAAGGUAGCGAAAUUCCUUGUCGGGUAAGUUCCGACCCGCACGAAAGGCGUAACGAUCUGGGCGCUGUCUCGGAGAGAGGCUCGGCGAAAUAGGAUUGUCUGUGAAGAUACGGACUACCUGCAUUUGGACAGAAAGACCCUAUGAAGCUUUACUAUAGCUUGGAAUUGUGUUCGGGCUUCCUGUGCGCAGGAUAGGUGGGAGGCGUAGAAGGUAUUCUUGUGGGGAUACUGGAGCCAACGGUGAGAUACCACUCUCAGGAGGCUAGAAUUCUAACUUAAUUAAGGACAGUUUCAGGUGGGUAGUUUGACUGGGGCGGUCGCCUCCAAAAAGGUAACGGAGGCGUACAAAGGUUCCCUCAGACUGGUUGGAAAUCAGUCGAAGAGUGCAAAGGCAGAAGGGAGCUUGACUGCGAGAAGUACAGUUCGAGCAGGGUGGAAACACGGUCUUAGUGAUCCGACGGUGCUGUGUGGAAGGGCCGUCGCUCAACGGAUAAAAGUUACUCUAGGAUAACAGGCUGAUCUCCCCCAAGAGUUCACAUCGACGGGGAGGUUUGGCACCUCGAUGUCGGCUCAUCGCAACCUGGGGCGGAAGUACGUCCCAAGGGUUGGGCUGUUCGCCCAUUAAAGCGGUACGUGAGCUGGGUUCAGAACGUCGUGAGACAGUUCGGUCCAUAUCCGAUGUAGGCGUGAGAAUAUUGAGAGGAGCCUUCCUUAGUACGAGAGGACCGGGAAGGACGCACCGCUGGUGUACCUGUUAUGAUGCCAAUUGUAAACGCAGGGUAGCCAAGUGCGGAGAGGAUAACCGCUGAAAGCAUCUAAGUGGGGAGCCCACCUCAAGAUGAGUAUUCUGGUGUAAGGUCACGGGAAGACGACCCGUAAAUAGGCACGAGGUGGAAGUGCAGAGAUGUAUGAAGCCGAAGUGUACUAAUAGACCGUCGGCUUGACC